UAGGGAGACCUGCCCUUAAUCACUCCGAACUAAUUUAAUAGGGGGAUUAGGUGGUCACUCUAGGUCGUUCAGGACUUUGAGACGAGUUUCUAGACUAUGGUUGAGGUUUAUUUUUUAGUCUUACGGGAUUAGAGAACUAAACACGGGCUAUUAGCUCAGGUGGUUAGAGCGCACCCCUGAUAAGGGUGAGGUCCCUGGUUCGAGUCCAGGAUGGCCCACUGCGUGGGGGUUUAGCUCAGUUGGUAGAGCGCCUGCUUUGCAAGCAGGAUGUCAGCGGUUCGAGUCCGCUAACCUCCACCACGGGAAUCACCCUAAAUAGAGGGAGUGAAUUCAGCACAGUAUACGCCAGGGGACUGGGGUGUAGUCUGCUGAGUGAGAGCUCAGCGAAGAACCUUGAAAACUACAUAGUUAGAGAAGUGUAAGGUAGUACACACAGAUAUUGAGUCGAGAGAAAGCGCGAUGAAUCUGUGUGACUUGAGGAAUCAAGUCAUUGAGACGAA
Molecule: transfer RNA, 500 nt
Filed under: uncultured cyanobacterium
Lineage: Bacteria; Bacillati; Cyanobacteriota
Description: 16S-23S ribosomal RNA intergenic spacer
Rfam family: tRNA (bases 225-297)
Source: RNAcentral